This 151-nucleotide antisense RNA is filed under the name Amborella trichopoda. Its description in RNAcentral is "lncRNA IsrR". The stretch from base 57 to 151 matches the Rfam family "Antisense RNA which regulates isiA expression", at positions 93 to 187 of the family's 187-position model. The record is from Rfam by way of RNAcentral. Lineage: Eukaryota; Viridiplantae; Streptophyta; Magnoliopsida; Amborellales; Amborellaceae.
GAAGCCCUAUAAUACCCAAUGGUUCAAUUGUAACCGUGCAUACUCUGAGAGCUUAGAUGAAGAUAGCCUCGAACACUAGGAGAAAAGCGCCCACACCUAAUAAGAUUAAGUGAAUACCCAAAAGAGUGGUCAUUUUCUUUCUAUUACAUAA